This 466-nucleotide ribosomal RNA is filed under the name uncultured bacterium. Its description in RNAcentral is "partial 16S ribosomal RNA". It matches the Rfam family "Bacterial small subunit ribosomal RNA", at positions 28 to 507 of the family's 1533-position model. The record is from RNAcentral.
GAUGAACGCUGGCGGCGUGCUUAACACAUGCAAGUCGAACGGAAAGGCCAGUCCUUGCCCUGCUACUCGAGUGGCGAACGGGUGAGUAACGCGUGGUUGCUCUGCCCUGUACUUCGGGAUAAGCUUGGGAAACUGGGUCUAAUACCGGAUAGGACAGCUUUAUGUAUAUUGUUGUGGAAAGCUUUUGUGGUAUGGGAUGAGCUCGCGGUCUAUCAGCUUGUUGGGGGGGUAUUGGCCUACAAAGGCGUCGCCGGGUAGCCGGCCUGAGAGGGUGUACGGGCACAUUGGGACUGAGGUACGGGCAAGACUGAUACGGGAGGCAGCAGUGGGGAACAGAGCGAAAAGGGCGGAAGGAGGAUGGAGGGACGUCGGGUGGGGGAGGAAGGCCGUCGGGGUGUAAACGGCUUUCGAUAGGGACGAAGCGCAAGUGACGGUACCUGGAGAAGAAGCACCGGCUAACUACGUG